AUCUGAGAGGAGAGGGACCCAUGCUUCGGUAUGGGAGCGUACACAGGUGCUGCAUGGCUGUCGUCAGGCUCGUGUCGUGAGAUGUUGGGUAAGUCCCGCAACGAGCGCAACCCUGCAUCCAGUUGCCAUCGGGCGAGCCGGGCACUCUGGAGGGACUGCCGGCGCAAGCCGGAGGAAGUGGGGGAUGACGUCAAGUCAUCAUGGCCCUUAUGUCCAGGGCGACACACGUGCUACAAUGGCCGGCACAGCGGGAAGCGGAGGGGCGACCCUGAGCGGAUCCCUUGAAAGCCGGUCCCAGUUCGGAUUGCAGUCUGCAACUCGACUGCAUGAAGUUGGAAUCGCUAGUAAUCGCGGAUCAGCCAAGCCGCGGUGAAUACGUUCCCGGGCCUU
RNAcentral lists this ribosomal RNA (390 nucleotides) under uncultured Thermovirga sp. Its description in RNAcentral is "bacterial SSU rRNA". It matches the Rfam family "Bacterial small subunit ribosomal RNA", at positions 999 to 1382 of the family's 1533-position model. Lineage: Bacteria; Thermotogati; Synergistota; Synergistia; Synergistales; Thermovirgaceae. The record is from RNAcentral.